CUAGGGUCACGGAUGGAAUCAAUCGAUUUAAAUUCAAAUUCUCGAUUUUUACCCGAAAAUCGGAAACAACGCGAUAGUCUGACGUAAUCGCGUCACAUGACCUGGUUUCGGUUUCACUUUGGUUACUACUAGUGGAUUGUCUUCCGAAAAUAAAAUCUUAUCGAGAAAAUGGUGCGAAAAACUUUUAAUGAGGAUGAAGAAAAAGUUAUUCUAACUCGCUUUCUGGAGCGGGGAUAUCAUCUGACCCGGAAACACAAAGAAAAAGAAGGGAUCAUAACGUCUGUCCGGACCGAGCUUUAUUUAAAGCACGGGAAAAGGUACAAGAAGUGAGCCCUACAAAAGAAGUUUUGCGACCUAAAGCGCCUUCACCCUGAUCUUGUGAAAGAAUAUAGUCAGCGAUUAUGCCCAGGGGUUCCAAGAACUCACCAGUCCCUUCAUCUGUCGUAUAUACAGUAAGAAGGGAGACAUGGCGGAAUUAAUGGGCAUUUGAAAUAUAAGAUACAAACAUAUCAAAGACCAUCAUAAUAAGUCUGUUAUUAUCUUACAGAUAAGGGGCUGAUUUUUCGAAAACUUAAAAGAAGGCUCCUUGAGCAUCGAAAAUCUGAAGCUAAUGCAAUGCUGACUGUAACAGCCCAACAAAAUAAAAUAGAGCUACUUCAAGCUCGCUUACAGAAGCAUCAGCGUCAGCUGGAUGCUGAAUACAGGAAGCUGGAGGAGCAGAGGAAGAUCCAUAAUAAGGAGUUGCUGGAGAUCCAGAAAGAACUCUAAAGUUUGCCUUAGAGGCUUUUUUUUCAUAUUUUACAUACUUUCUAUUU
Long non-coding RNA from Bufo gargarizans (Asiatic toad), 815 nucleotides. RefSeq lists it as uncharacterized. The record is from RefSeq and is a predicted model, not a curated record. NCBI's taxonomy places the organism in Eukaryota, Metazoa, Chordata, Amphibia, Anura, Bufonidae. The transcript has 4 exons.